CCUACGGGAGGCAGCAGUGGGGAAUUGUUCACAAUGGGCGCAAGCCUGAUGACGCAACGCCGCGUGGAGGAUGAAGGUCUUCGGAUUGUAAACUCCUGUUGCCCGGGACGAAAAGCUUCGACCUAACACGUCGAAGUCUGACGGUACCGGGUGAGGAAGCCCCGGCUAACUCUGUGCCAGCAGCCGCGGUAAUACAGAGGGGGCAAGCGUUGUUCGGAAUUACUGGGCGUAAAGGGCGCGUAGGUGGCCUUCUAAGUUGAACGUGAAAUCCCUGGGCUCAACCCAGGAACUGCGUCCAAGACUGGGAGGCUUGAAUCCGGGAGAGGGAUGCGGAAUUCCAGGUGUAGCGGUGAAAUGCGUAGAUAUCUGGAGGAACACCGGUGGCGAAGGCGGCAUCCUGGACCGGUAUUGACACUGAGGCGCGAAAGCCAGGGGAGCAAACGGGAUUAGAUACCCCGGUAGUCCUGGCCCUAAACGAUGAAUGCUUGGUGUGGCGGGUAUCGAUCCCUGCCGUGCCGAAGCUAACGCAUUAAGCAUUCCGCCUGGGGAUACGGUCGCAGGCUGAAACUCAAAGGAUUGACGG
Molecule: ribosomal RNA, 583 nt
Filed under: uncultured bacterium
Lineage: Bacteria
Description: bacterial SSU rRNA
Rfam family: Bacterial small subunit ribosomal RNA
Source: RNAcentral